GACGAACGCUGGCGGCGUGCCUAAUACAUGCAAGUUGAGCGAUUAAGGUUGGUGCUUGUACCUACUGGAUUAGCAGCGAACGGGUGAGUAACGCGUGGGUAAUCUGCCUUUGAGCGGGGGACAACUUUUGGAAACGAAUGCUAAUACCGCAUAAAAACUUUAAACACAAGUUUUAAGUUUGAAAGAUGCAAUUGCUUCACUCAAUGAUGAUCCCGCGUUGUAUUAGCUAGUUGGUGAGGGAAAGGCUCACCAAGGCGAUGAUAAAUAGCCGACCUUAGGAGGGGAUAGGCCACAUUGGGACUGAGACACGGCCCAAACCCCCAAGGGAGGCAGCAGUAGGGAAUUUUCGGCAAUGGACGAAAGGCUGAACGAGCAACGCCGGGUGAGUGAAGAAGGUUUUCGGAUCGUAAAACUCUGUUGGUAGAGAAGAACGUUGGGGAGAGUGGAAAGCGCAUCAAGUGACGGUAACUACCCAGAAAGGGACGGCUAACUACGUG
This 497-nucleotide ribosomal RNA is filed under the name uncultured bacterium. RNAcentral's name for it is "partial 16S ribosomal RNA". It matches the Rfam family "Bacterial small subunit ribosomal RNA", at positions 28 to 507 of the family's 1533-position model. The record is from RNAcentral.